Molecule: transfer RNA, 88 nt
Filed under: Actinomadura sp. 6K520
Lineage: Bacteria; Bacillati; Actinomycetota; Actinomycetes; Streptosporangiales; Thermomonosporaceae
Also listed under: 1 other name
Description: tRNA-Leu
Rfam family: tRNA
About the family: Transfer RNA (tRNA) molecules are approximately 80 nucleotides in length.
Source: RNAcentral
GCGGGCGUGGCGAAACCAGGUAUACGCGGCAGGUUUAGGUCCUGUUGGUGGAGACACCGUGGGGGUUCGAAUCCCCCCGCCCGCACCC